Molecule: ribosomal RNA, 273 nt
Filed under: uncultured Methylobacterium sp.
Lineage: Bacteria; Pseudomonadati; Pseudomonadota; Alphaproteobacteria; Hyphomicrobiales; Methylobacteriaceae
Description: partial 16S ribosomal RNA
Rfam family: Bacterial small subunit ribosomal RNA
Source: RNAcentral
UACGUAGGGGGCUAGCGUUGCCCGGAAUCACUGGGCGUAAAGGGCGCGUAGGCGGCCAUUCAAGUCGGGGGUGAAAGCCUGUGGCUCAACCCCAGAACUGCCUUCGAUACUGUUUGGCUUGAGUAUGGUAGAGGCUGGUGGUACUGCUAGUGUAGAGGUGAAAUUCGUAGAUAUUCGCAAGAACACCAGUGGCGAAGGCGGCCAACUGGACCAAUACUGACGCUGAGGCGCGAAAGCGUGGGGAGCAAACAGGAUUAGAUACCCCCGUAGUCC